RNAcentral lists this ribosomal RNA (489 nucleotides) under uncultured bacterium. RNAcentral's name for it is "SSU rRNA". It matches the Rfam family "Bacterial small subunit ribosomal RNA", at positions 26 to 521 of the family's 1533-position model. The record is from RNAcentral.
AGGACGAACGCUGGCGGCGUGCUUAACACAUGCAAGUGGUGCGACGAACCAGGGCUUGCCCUGGGGCUAAGCCGCGAACGGGUGAGUAACACGUGAGUAAUCUGCCCCGAUGACCGGGACAACCCGAGGAAACUCGGGCUAAUACCGGAUGUGGUGCACGGGUAUAAGCCUGUGUACUAAAGGAAGCUUCGGCCUCCGCAUUGGGAGGAGCUCGCGGCCCAUUAGCUUGUUGGUGGGGUAACGGCCUACCAAGGCAACGAUGGGUAGCUGGUCUGAGAGGACGAUCAGCCACACUGGGACUGAGACACGGCCCAGACUCCUACGGGAGGCAGCAGUGGGGAAUCUUGCGCAAUGCGCGAAAGCGUGACGCAGCAACGCCGCGUGGGGGAAGACGGCCUUCGGGUUGUAAACCCCUUUCAGCAGGGACGAAGCGAAAGUGACGGUACCUGCAGAAGAAGCGCCGGCUAACUACGUGCCAGCAGCCGCGGU